UGCAGUCGACGAUGCUUUCGGGCAUAGUGGCGCACGGGUGCGUAACGCGUGGGAAUCUGCCCUUGGGUCUGGGAUAACAGUUGGAAACGACUGCUAAUACCGGAUGAUAUCGCGAGAUCAAAGAUUUAUCGCCCGAGGAUGAGCCCGCGUAGGAUUAGCUAGUUGGUGGGGUAAAGGCCUACCAAGGCGACGAUCCUUAGCUGGUCUGAGAGGAUGAUCAGCCACACUGGGACUGAGACACGGCCCAGACUCCUACGGGAGGCAGCAGUGGGGAAUAUUGGACAAUGGGCGAAAGCCUGAUCCAGCAAUGCCGCGUGAGUGAUGAAGGCCUUAGGGUUGUAAAGCUCUUUUACCCGGGAUGAUAAUGACAGUACCGGGAGAAUAAGCCCCGGCUAACUCCGUGCCAGCAGCCGCGGUAAUACGGAGGGGGCUAGCGUUGUUCGGAAUUACUGGGCGUAAAGCGCACGUAGGCGGCUUUGUAAGUCAGGGGUGAAAGCCUGGAGCUCAACUCCAGAACUGCCUUUGAGACUGCAUCGCUUGAAUCCGGGAGAGGUAAGUGGAAUUCCGAGUGUAGAGGUGAAAUUCGUAGAUAUUCGGA
RNAcentral lists this ribosomal RNA (598 nucleotides) under uncultured bacterium. Its description in RNAcentral is "bacterial SSU rRNA". It matches the Rfam family "Bacterial small subunit ribosomal RNA", at positions 56 to 702 of the family's 1533-position model. The record is from RNAcentral.